RNAcentral lists this unclassified non-coding RNA (480 nucleotides) under uncultured Bartonella sp. RNAcentral describes it as "partial 16S-23S ribosomal RNA intergenic spacer". The stretch from base 94 to 167 matches the Rfam family "tRNA". Lineage: Bacteria; Pseudomonadati; Pseudomonadota; Alphaproteobacteria; Hyphomicrobiales; Bartonellaceae. The record is from RNAcentral.
UAUGAAUUUAAAAAAGGCUUUAUGAAGAAAGCACUUUAAGCUUUUCCAGCAAUUUAAGAUGAUACCGGGGAAGGUUUUCCGGUUUAUCCCGGAGGGCUUGUAGCUCAGUUGGUUAGAGCGCGCGCUUGAUAAGCGUGAGGUCGGAGGUUCAAGUCCUCCCAGGCCCACCAAUUUAUGCUCGUUUUUUGCUUAUCCAAGGGUAUGAAGCUUAAGCGUAUUAAAGCCUCUUUAAUCUUUGUUUGUUUUAAAGAUUUAAUUGUAUUACCCAAGGAUUGUCUGGUAAGUUUAUCCUAUUAAGUUCAUCGGAGAGGAUUUUAAAAUCCCUUUAAAGGUAUAGAAGAAUUUAAAUGAUGCCAAUCAAAAGAGUCCAAGUCAUUCAAGUUGAUGAAUAUUCUUGAGGCUGAUUUGAGAAAGCAUUAUUUAGGGGCCGUAGCUCAGCUGGGAGAGCACCUGCUUUGCAAGCAGGGGGUCGUCGGUUCA